RNAcentral lists this ribosomal RNA (509 nucleotides) under uncultured bacterium. Its description in RNAcentral is "partial 16S ribosomal RNA". The record is from RNAcentral.
GGAGUUAGCCGGUGCUUCUUCUGUGAGUGAUGUCCUUCCUGCCGGCUAUUAACCCGCAGGCCUUCUUCCUCACUGAAAGUGCUUUACAACCCGAAGGCCUUCUUCACACACGCGGCAUGGCUGGAUCAGGGUUGCCCCCAUUGUCCAAUAUUCCCCACUGCUGCCUCCCGUAGGAGUCUGGGCCGUGUCUCAGUCCCAGUGUGGCUGAUCAUCCUCUCAGACCAGCUACGGAUCGUCGCCUUGGUGAGCCGUUACCUCACCAACCAGCUAAUCCGACAUAGGCUCAUCCGAUAGCGCGAGGCCCGAAGGUCCCCCGCUUUCCCCCGUAGGGCCGUAUGCGGUAUUAGCCUGGGUUUCCCCAGGGUUAUCCCCCACUACCGGGCAGAUUCCUAUGCAUUACUCACCCGUCCGCCGCUCGCCACCAGGGAGCAAGCUCCCCGUGCUGCCGCUCGACUUGCAUGUGUUAGGCCUGCCGCCAGCGUUCAAUCUGAGCCAGGAUCAAACUCUGA